This 4179-nucleotide long non-coding RNA is filed under the name Salmo trutta (river trout). RNAcentral describes it as "lncRNA (ENSSTUG00000005408.1)". The record is from RNAcentral. Lineage: Eukaryota; Metazoa; Chordata; Actinopteri; Salmoniformes; Salmonidae.
GAUGUAGGCCAUUGUACUAAUCAGUCAGAAGAGACUCAGAGUCAGUGUGGAAUAGAGGGGCUUCCUCAGCGUUGGUGGACCACAGGGAUCCCUAUGGCAGUGAAAGAGCCAGGUACAGAUCAGUGAUUGUGACUGAUACUGAUUUCAGAAAUAUCAUCAUCACUAUCAAGUAUUCUGAAAGUCAUUGAAAUGUUGGGAAUUGCAGGGGUUCCCAUUCGUCCGUUCUCUGCCCUGCAGUAUCAGUCUCACACCAGCCUCUGCAGAGAGGAUUGGAUCAGACUCCUCAGGGAAUCUAUGAUUGAACUCAGACAACUCCAGCCAACAGUGAGGUACAGUCAAUAAAACAUGACCCCACAAAUGUUGUUCCAAAGCAAUACCCAAUACCACUGUGUGGUUGGUAUAACCGCUGGCCCAGUGAGGAGGCGGCAUGGCCAGGGGAGCACCAAGAGAGGAAAGGGAGCUGACGGAAGCUGAGUCUGACCACCCAGGCCCUGAGGCACCUCCUCCCUAGCCCCUCCCCAGUGGAUAUGAUGACUGACAGGCUGGUAGAGCAGGGAGACACAGAGCCACCUAAUGACGGCCUGCCUCUUAUAGCUGAGGUACUUUACUACUAUGGCCCUGUCUGAGAGUGAGUGUGCUGAGGUAUAAUACUUGGGCAAUGAUGGUUAUUAAAAUAAUGAAUUUCUUUGUCUCAAUGCAGGAGAAACACUGGACUCCGGCACACCUCUCCUCUCAAUCCCCAUCCAAGGAGAGCUCUGAAUCUAUGUUCUCUUUCAGCGCUGCCUCCUCUCUGCCCCCUCUGAGAUGGGGCAUCCCAUAUGUGUAUGGAAGCACAGUGAUGCUGCAGCAGAUCUCCUCCCUGCUUAGUGAUGGAGGAGGGUGUCACAGCAGGCAGGAUGACAGCCCAUCCCUCCCAGCAGGCAAACUCCACCCAGGCUGCCCUGACCUGCCUCUGACCCUAGAGGGCGCCACAGACCCUGUCUCCUUCAACAGCCUGAGUCUAGACAGCAGGAAUGUGGAGGAGCUGGUGUUCUCCACUGAGUGGGGAGUAGAGGAGAUCAUGACCUGUGAUGCCAGGAGACGACCUCGUAAUUGUGAAAGAGGAGGCAGUUCCCCCUGUAUAUGUAACAUUAGACAGAAGACAUAGUCUGAGCAGACUAAAACUCCAUCCUCAGUUCUAUAGUAAUGAGGACAACCAAUCAGUGCCCUCUGUUUCUGAGAUCCAAGUUGAGAGUCACAACUUCCUGACACCCGACCAUGGUGUGUUUCAAAUGUUACUACACUCUGUGUUGUGGCUGUGUUUUCACUAUACCUGCUGUAUGACUUAACUAAGAGAUAAUUAAAUAAUUGGCCCUUUAACUAAAUUACUUUUGUUCAUGAUAAUCCAGAUAAAAUUGAAUACGACAAGGAUGUGACUGAGGAAAUCAUUCAUGCACCAAAUGUGACUGAUGUGUGGAGCGUCAUACCUGGAGGGGACAAAUCAGAGAACCUCCUCCCCCAGACCUCCCCCUUCUCUGGGGCUGCUGUUGCUUCAUCUCUCUGCUUCCUGGAGUUGGAGCCCUUACAGGUGACAGACCUCUACUGUCCAAUUACAUAAAUACUGUACAUACUAUGCAGACCACCUACAGUAUUGGCCAACUGGGUUUCUGUGUUUGUUCAGAGGGCGUCUGACCCUCCACAGCUUGAGAAAGCAAUGAAAUGUUUCUGCCGGGACUCCCAGGAUGCAGUGGACCAACCAGAGAUCCUGACAUCCUGUGCCCUCACUGAGACCACCCAGGACCUUUACUCUGAGCUCCACCAGACCUUUUGUUCUCUGGAGGAGCUGGGAAGUGCAGGGCCCAGUGGCCCAGAUACAGAGAAAGGGUCUACCCUGGAGGGGGAACUGGACAGUGGGGGCUCUGGGAGGUAUAUCCGGCCCUUCUCUCUCCAGGACUCCUCCCUGCUCAUCCCCCGUCGGAGGUCCGUACGCUCCAGACAGCUCCAGAUCCCUGGAGUCCCUCUGUCCCACAGAAUCAACUCCAGACGCAAUCCCCCAGCUCAGCCCCUCCUCAGCCCCAGAGACAUCCAGAGACAGGUUACCUGGAGGGGAGAAGGCCUUGCACAAGGAGGCGGCAGCAUGCUUCAGAUGCACCCCAGAGGAUAGGCUGGGUCACUGUAAGCUGGACAACUGGUGGAAACAAGCCCUGGAGACCUAAAGGGCAUCCACUGGCCUGUUACCUGCCAUAGAGCAGGUAUCCACCAUAGAGCAGGUAUCCACCAUAGAGCAGGUAUCCACCAUCGAGCAGGUAUCCACCAUCGAGCAGGUAUCCACCAUCGAGCAGGUAUCCACCAUCGAGCAGGUAUCCACCAUAGAGCAGGUAUCCACCAUAGAGCAGGUUUCCACCAUAGAGCAGGUAUCCACCAUAGAGCAGGUAUCCACCAUAGAGCAGGUAUCCACCAUCUCAAAAGGUAGUGUGUUUUCUUUACUGUAUGUUUAUAUGCAAAUCAAUCAUUUUGUGUGCUUCAUAGUGCCACAUUCUGCAGACUCCACAUAUGCACUAUUUUAUCUUACGUUUAUCUUAUGAUUAUAUUAAAAUAGACUAGCUUGUUAUUUAUAUCCAUCUUACAUUUAGAAAACCUAUUUAGUGUCACAGCUACCAAAGGUCAAAUAAUUAAUAGUUUGUCAUUUUGCACAGAUUUGCCGAUUUUAUAAAAAUGGUAAUUAUUUAUUGAUAUACAUGCAGAUGGUGUGUUUUUGUGUAUGAGUUUGUAUUGAAGAAUAAAUGCCUCUAGUAACAUCUUCCUUUGUCAUUGUGACGGGGAACAUUAAGAGAGUUGCCCUUUGGAACAUUAGAUUGAUGGAGCGUUAGAAACGGCAGCAGCAGCAGCCCAGGAAGGAAACUAGUGUUGUUUCUCACGUCUGGCUGGAGACUGUACAGUGAAUGCCUCUCUUCAGAGUAAAUGUGUGUGUGUGUACAUGCAUGGGUGUGUGUGUGUGUGUGUGUGCACGUGAGUGCAUGUAAUGCGUGCUUGUUUGUGUGUGUAAGUGUGUGUGGCCAUUGCUGGCCUGUUGCUGUCACUCAGUGGGGAGUCUGUGCCCGGAGUGGGACUCAAGUGCAUGUACUGGUGGGCAGGGGGUCUCCACUGCUGGGAGAGGGGGGGAUGAAGGAUGAAGUGCAGAGAGAAGGUGGUGUACUCUAAUGUCAGACCAGGACUCUCUCAACCUUGUCAUAGUUACUCAUCCGUGACCACCACCCCUUGCUCUCCCUGGUAGGGGCCACUGGUGUUACCCAGAGCAGAUGGAGCUCUGCUGGGCCUCGCUGAUCACCGCUGGGCCUGGGGCAGUGAAGGCUGCUGAGGGGAGGACGGUUCAUAAUAAUGGCCGGAACAGAGCGAAGGAAAUGGCAUAAACACAUGGAAAACAUGUGUUUGAUGUAUUUGAUACCAUUCCACCAAUUCCACUCCAGCCACGCCCCAUUAGGGCGGCAGGUAGCCUAGUGGUUAGCGCGUUGGCCCAGUAACCGAAAGGUUGCUACAUCGAAUCCCCGAGCUGACUAGGUAAAAAUCUGUCAUUCUGCCCCUGAACAAGGCAGUUAACCCACUGUUCCUAGGCCAUCAUUGUAAAUAAGAAUUUGUUCUUAACUGACUUGCCUAGUUAAAUAAAGGUUAAAUAAAACAUUUAAAUAAAUACAAAUUAAGAUGCCCCCAACCUCCUGUGGUCUGGGGGAACCAUGGCCCCACUCACCACACUGAUACCCUGCCACAUCACUGGGACCCGGGUUUAAGAGACCAACACACAGCAGGGGCCAAAUGUGUCAUUUAAUCAAAGCUCAGUUUGUAAAAAAUGUGUUUCAGAAAAGAGGUGGCCCUCACAUCUAGUGUACUUUUAUUCAUCCACAGAAAAGAGGGUCUCUCUUGUUCCUGGGCGACCCUACUCCAACAGUCUGCUCAGCAUCCAGGAGUCUCCAUCCAAGCAGAGAGGAGACAAGCAGGAGGUCAAAUGUGUAGAGGUCAUCUUUAUGUGGUCACUGGUCUUACAUGGAGGGUGUCAGAAUGGAGGGAAAUAUGCUCCGGUUGGCCAAUGGAGGGCGGUGUUGUUGGAUCGAAUCCCAAGCUGACAAGGUAAAAAUCUGUCGUUCUGUCCCUGAACAAGGCAAGGAACCCACUGUUCCCCGGUAGGCCGUCUUCGUAAAUAAGAAU